GGGCAUAUAGCUCAGCUGGUUAGAGCGUCUGCUCGACACGCAGAAGGUCUCCCGUUCGAGUCGGGAUAUGCCCACUA
This 77-nucleotide transfer RNA is filed under the name Candidatus Moranbacteria bacterium RBG_13_45_13. Its description in RNAcentral is "tRNA-Val". It matches the Rfam family "tRNA". Rfam says of the family: Transfer RNA (tRNA) molecules are approximately 80 nucleotides in length. Their secondary structure includes four short double-helical elements and three loops (D, anti-codon, and T loops). Further hydrogen bonds mediate the characteristic L-shaped molecular structure. tRNAs have two regions of fundamental functional importance: the anti-codon, which is responsible for specific mRNA codon recognition, and the 3' end, to which the tRNAs corresponding amino acid is attached (by aminoacyl-tRNA synthetases). tRNAs cope with the degeneracy of the genetic code in two manners: having more than one tRNA (with a specific anti-codon) for a particular amino acid; and 'wobble' base-pairing, i.e. permitting non-standard base-pairing at the 3rd anti-codon position. Lineage: Bacteria; Candidatus Moraniibacteriota. The record is from RNAcentral.